RNAcentral lists this ribosomal RNA (488 nucleotides) under uncultured bacterium. Its description in RNAcentral is "partial 16S ribosomal RNA". It matches the Rfam family "Bacterial small subunit ribosomal RNA", at positions 29 to 507 of the family's 1533-position model. The record is from RNAcentral.
ACGAACGCUGGCGGCGUGCUUAACCCCUGCAAGUCGAACGGUGAAGGGAUCAGCUUGCUGGUUCUGGAUGAGUGGCGAACGGGUGAGUAACACGUGAGUAACCUGCCCCCUUCUUCUGGAUAACCGCAUGAAAGUGUGGCUAAUACGGGAUAUUCUGCGCCUGCUGCAUGGUGGGUGUGGGAAAGAUAUUGUUUCGGUGGGGGAUGGGCUCGCGGCCUAUCAGCUUGUUGGUGGGGUGAUGGCCUACCAAGGCGGUGACGGGUAGCCGGCCUGAGAGGGUGGACGGUCACACUGGGACUGAGACACGGCCCAGACUCCUACGGGAGGCAGCAGUGGGGAAUAUUGCACAAUGGGCGCAAGCCUGAUGCAGCGACGCCGCGUGAGGGAUGGAGGCCUUCGGGUUGUGAACCUCUUUCGCCAGUGAAGCAGGCCUGUCCCUUGUGGGUGGGUUGACGGUAGCUGGAUAAGAAGCGCCGGCUAACUACGUG